Molecule: non-coding RNA, 46 nt
Organism: Necator americanus (New World hookworm)
Lineage: Eukaryota; Metazoa; Nematoda; Chromadorea; Rhabditida; Ancylostomatidae
Source: Rfam
CCAACGGCCCUCUUUAGGGCCACAAAUAGUGUUCGAGUGCUUGAAU